GUCGAACGAUGAAGGGAGCUUGCUCCUGGAUUAGUGGCGAACGGGUGAGUAACACGUGAGUAACCUGCCCUUGACUCUGGGAUAAGCCUGGGAAACUGGGUCUAAUACCGGAUAUGACCUUCCAUCGCAUGGUGGUUGGUGGAAAGCUUUUGUGGUUUUGGAUGGACUCGCGGCCUAUCAGCUUGUUGGUGGGGUAAUGGCCUACCAAGGCGACGACGGGUAGCCGGCCUGAGAGGGUGACCGGCCACACUGGGACUGAGACACGGCCCAGACUCCUACGGGAGGCAGCAGUGGGGAAUAUUGCACAAUGGGCGCAAGCCUGAUGCAGCGACGCCGCGUGAGGGAUGACGGCCUUCGGGUUGUAAACCUCUUUCAGUAGGGAAGAAGCCGCAAGGUGACGGUACCUGCAGAAGAAGCGCCGGCUAACUACGUGCCAGCAGCCGCGGUAAUACGUAGGGCGCAAGCGUUAUCCGGAAUUAUUGGGCGUAAAGAGCUCGUAGGCGGUUUGUCGCGUCUGCCGUGAAAGUCCGGGGCUCAACUCCGGAUCUGCGGUGGGUACGGGCAGACUAGAGUGAUGUAGGGGAGACUGGAAUUCCUGGUGUAGCGGUGAAAUGCGCAGAUAUCAGGAGGAACACCGAUGGCGAAGGCAGGUCUCUGGGCAUUAACUGACGCUGAGGAGCGAAAGCAUGGGGAGCGAACAGGAUUAGAUACCCUGGUAGUCCAUGCCGUAAACGUUGGGCACUAGGUGUGGGGGACAUUCCAC
Molecule: ribosomal RNA, 763 nt
Filed under: Pseudarthrobacter sp.
Lineage: Bacteria; Bacillati; Actinomycetota; Actinomycetes; Micrococcales; Micrococcaceae
Description: bacterial SSU rRNA
Rfam family: Bacterial small subunit ribosomal RNA
Source: RNAcentral